UACGUAGGGUCCAAGCGUUGUCCGGAUUUACUGGGCGUAAAGAGCUCGUAGGCGGCCCGUCGCGUCGGUCGUGAAAACCCUGAGCUCAACUCAGGGAUUGCGAUCGAUACGGGCGGGCUAGAGGGCGGAAGGGGCGAGCGGAAUUCCCGGUGUAGCGGUGAAAUGCGCAGAUAUCGGGAGGAACACCGGUGGCGAAGGCGGCUCGCUGGGCCGUUCCUGACGCUGAGGAGCGAAAGCGUGGGGAGCGAACAGG
Molecule: unclassified non-coding RNA, 253 nt
Filed under: uncultured Actinomycetes bacterium
Lineage: Bacteria; Bacillati; Actinomycetota; Actinomycetes
Description: uncultured actinobacterium contains 16S-23S intergenic spacer region
Rfam family: Bacterial small subunit ribosomal RNA
Source: RNAcentral